RNAcentral lists this transfer RNA (72 nucleotides) under Caudoviricetes sp. RNAcentral describes it as "tRNA-Asn". It matches the Rfam family "tRNA". From Rfam's summary of the family: Transfer RNA (tRNA) molecules are approximately 80 nucleotides in length. Their secondary structure includes four short double-helical elements and three loops (D, anti-codon, and T loops). Further hydrogen bonds mediate the characteristic L-shaped molecular structure. tRNAs have two regions of fundamental functional importance: the anti-codon, which is responsible for specific mRNA codon recognition, and the 3' end, to which the tRNAs corresponding amino acid is attached (by aminoacyl-tRNA synthetases). tRNAs cope with the degeneracy of the genetic code in two manners: having more than one tRNA (with a specific anti-codon) for a particular amino acid; and 'wobble' base-pairing, i.e. permitting non-standard base-pairing at the 3rd anti-codon position. Lineage: Duplodnaviria; Heunggongvirae; Uroviricota; Caudoviricetes. The record is from RNAcentral.
UGUCCCAUAGCUCAAUGGCAGAGCAUUCGGCUGUUAACCGAAGGGUUGUUGGUUCGAGUCCAACUGGGACAG